UUACAUGGUUUAUUAUAUCAUUUAAAAAGUCAAGUAUUUUACAGUAUUUUUUUCCUUUGGCAAUAGGCAAGUGAUGGAAAAUUAAGAUGGAGAAGAGCUGACGUUGGUCCUGACUCAACAUCUUCCAUGACUCAUGGAAAAUUCUCUGCAGUCUUUUAUGACACAAAAAUUCAGACUGUUAGAUGUUAUGUUUGCUACUGUAACAUGCUCUAGUUGUUUGAACAUUUGAUGAAGCCAGUGUUACUAUAUUUCUAUAAUAACUGGUUGUAAUUUAUUCAUUUCCUAUACAUUUUUAGGAUUUGUAGAGGGUCUUUCUGAUCAGAAUCAAAGAAACUGAACAUUAAAGAAGUACCAGUUGCAAGCUCAGAACAUUUUCAUCAAGACGUCAAAGAAAACUAAACUGAGGAAUGGAUGAUCUGCCUAGAAACCACCACUGUGCAAUGCCAGACUUACAAGAUGAAUUAUUUCAGAGAAACAAAAGAAAGAUGUUUCUUCAAGAAGAAGAAAUAUUUUGAUGAAUUACUGUGGUUAUCAGAGGAAAUAUCACUUCCAUUAGUACAAUGUAUGUGUCUGCAAUCUAACAAUAAAGGAUACAGAAUCCAACAAUACAGAACUGCUUUGUGUGGUUCUGAUUGUGGGUCUUUAAGGUACUGCCACUGUAAAAUGAAACAACGUGUGACGGAAUGGAGUAUGAAAAAGCAUUCUGGAGAGGAAAUGAGAGGGUGCCAGGGAGGCUUUCAGGAUUAA
This 747-nucleotide long non-coding RNA is filed under the name Numida meleagris (helmeted guineafowl). RNAcentral's name for it is "lncRNA (ENSNMEG00000019671.1)". Lineage: Eukaryota; Metazoa; Chordata; Aves; Galliformes; Numididae. The record is from RNAcentral.